GCCGCCCUAGCUUUAAUUGGUUAGAGCGCUGCUCUCGUAAAGCAGAGGUUCGCGGUUCGAGUCCGCGGGGCGGCUCGA
This 78-nucleotide transfer RNA is filed under the name Candidatus Nealsoniibacteriota bacterium. Its description in RNAcentral is "Candidatus Nealsonbacteria bacterium tRNA-Thr". It matches the Rfam family "tRNA". From Rfam's summary of the family: Transfer RNA (tRNA) molecules are approximately 80 nucleotides in length. Their secondary structure includes four short double-helical elements and three loops (D, anti-codon, and T loops). The record is from RNAcentral. Lineage: Bacteria; Candidatus Nealsoniibacteriota.